UAAGGUGGUUAUAGCAAUAGGGCUCACCUCUUCCCAUUCCGAACAGAGAAGUUAAACCUAUUUGCGCAGAUGGUACUGCCGUUAUGGUGGGAGAGUAUGUCGCCGCCUUCC
This 111-nucleotide ribosomal RNA is filed under the name Flavobacteriaceae bacterium. The record is from RNAcentral. Lineage: Bacteria; Pseudomonadati; Bacteroidota; Flavobacteriia; Flavobacteriales; Flavobacteriaceae.